This 1231-nucleotide long non-coding RNA is filed under the name Helianthus annuus (common sunflower). Its description in RNAcentral is "hypothetical non coding rna". Lineage: Eukaryota; Viridiplantae; Streptophyta; Magnoliopsida; Asterales; Asteraceae. The record is from RNAcentral.
GGGGGGUUAAAUGUUCAAAUACGCAAACUAAUUUUACACUUUUUAUGUAAAUUUUACAAGUUUUAACGACUAAAUGUAACCUAAUUAAAGUUUGCCAAACAAUCAAAUAGCUGUUUAUCUGUACCAUAUUACUUCAAACAACAAAAAGCACAUCCAUAUCUAUCCUAAAGUUGUAUUCGUAGUUGUCAAUAGCGGCUAUAGCGAUUGCUACAUAGAGAAGCGAUGUAGUGUCUCUAGCGACUGAUAGCGAGAAAAGCGACAAUUAAUUUUUUUUAUAUAAAUAGCAAUUAGAUAUAGCUAUAAAAUAGCUGGAUUAUAGGUUUUAGUUAAAUAUACAUGUAAAAUAGCAUAUAUACCAAGGUAUAUUGAUAUAAUAUACAUAUAAAAAUUUUCAAAAUUCUUUUCCUAGCGUAUCGCUAUUUAUAAAACAGCGGUGGCUAUUUGUCGUUAUUCGCUAUUUAGCAUAUAGGUCCCUUGUCGCUGUUUGUCGAUAUUCGCAAUUAACAAAUAACAACUAUGGUUGUAUUAUUACAACUGAUGAUCUGAUUCGAUCAUUCGACUAACCAAAAAAAAAAAAAAAACACAUGACUACUUCCAAAUGCAUAUUCAAAACAUCCAAUUUACCAACACAUAUAGAUUUUCAUUCUUGCAAGUUGUAACACCUUCAUUCUAAAGCGAGUGAAAGGGUUUAAUGUGAAAGUUAAAUGUUCUAGAUGUUAACGGCAGGCCGGUUAACUAGUACUGAUCCUUUACUAAACCACAAAACACCUUGGGUUGACCUGAAUACCGUUAGUUCAAAUUUUUUAACCUUUUCAAGUUUUUAUAGAUAGAUGCCUAGUGUGUCAAAUGUGAUUAUAAAUGCACAAGGUGUUGACGUCCCAAAGCUGAAGCAUGAGGCGAGAGACAACAAAACUAUUCUCAUGUGACUUGUAAGACCAUGUGUACUGGUUUAGCCAAAUAAUGCCCCCACCAUGGGGCGUUUUGCGACACGUGGCAGUCCAGUCAGCAUGGGGCAUUAUUGGGGGUUAUUGCAAAAGUGCCGUAGUGGGAAUAAUGCCCAAUAACGCCCCUUCCAAUCAUUAAACAAUUAUGUUUUUAUAGAGAAAAGGAUAAAAAAAUAAAUAAGAAAAUGAAACUUAUACAGUUGGACCACUCCCAUCGGCCAUAUGCAAUUCUCAGUUGGAGCUAUUCAGCGUUAUUAUAAAAACGCCAGAAUCAAUUUUUUGAAUUU